GAUUAAGUGUCGUAAGGGCAAUUGGUGGAUGCCUUGGCAUGCACAGGCGAUGAAGGACGUGAUACGCUGCGAAAAGCCGUGGGGAGCUGCGAAUGAGCUUUGAUCCAUGGAUAUCCGAAUGGGGGAACCCACCUUAAAUGCUUGGAAAAUCCAAACUGUCAGCGAUGACGGCUUGGGUUUCCAAGCAUUGUUAAUAAGGUAUCUGCACCUGAAUAAAAUAGGGUGUAAGAAGCGAACGCAGGGAACUGAAACAUCUAAGUACCUGCAGGAAAGGACAUCAACCGAGACUCCGCAAGUAGUGGCGAGCGAACGCGGACCAGGCCAGUGGCAUCAAGGAAUAAAGCGGAACGCUCUGGAAAGAGCGGCCAUAGUGGGUGACAGCCCCGUACGCGUAGAACACUUGAUGUCCUAGAGUAGGGCGGGACACGUGAAAUCCUGUCUGAACAUGGGGAGACCACUCUCCAAGCCUAAGUACUCGUGCAUGACCGAUAGCGAACAAGUACCGUGAGGGAAAGGUGAAAAGCACCCCGACAAGGGGAGUGAAAUAGAACCUGAAACCGGUUGCCUACAAACAGUCGGAGGGCGCAAGCCUGACGGCGUACCUUUUGUAUAAUGGGUCAACGACUUAGUGUAACUAGCAAGCUUAAGCCGGUAGGUGUAGGCGCAGCGAAAGCGAGUCUGAAUAGGGCGAUUGAGUUAGUUGCAUUAGACCCGAAACCGAGUGAUCUAGCCAUGAGCAGGUUGAAGGUUGGGUAACACCAACUGGAGGACCGAACCCGCAUCUGUUGCAAUAGAUUGGGAUGACUUGUGGCUAGGGGUGAAAGGCCAAUCAAACUCGGAAAUAGCUGGUUCUCCGCGAAANNAGGGCAACAACCCUGACCUCCAGCUAAGGUCCCCAAGUCAUGGCUAAGUGGGAAAGGAUGUGAGGAUCCCAAAACAACCAGGAUGUUGGCUUAGAAGCAGCCAUCAUUUAAAGAAAGCGUAACAGCUCACUGGUCUAAAUAAGGGUCUUUGCGCCGAAAAUGUAACGGGGCUAAAGCCAUGCACCGAAGCUGAGGAUACGUCGCAAGACGUGUGGUAGCGGAGCGUUCCGUAAGCCUGUGAAGGGGUACCUGUGAGGGGCCCUGGAGGUAUCGGAAGUGCGAAUGUUGACAUGAGUAACGAUAAAGGGAGUGAGAGACUCCCUCGCCGAAAGACCAAGGGUUCCUGCUUAAAGUUAAUCUGAGCAGGGUUAGCCGGCCCCUAAGAUGAGGCAGAAAUGCGUAGUCGAUGGGAACCACGUUAAUAUUCGUGGGCCUGGUGGUAGUGACGGAUCGCACAAAUCGUACAUUCUUAUUGGAUUGAAUGUGCGGUGGAGCGGUUCCAGGAAAUAGCUCCACCCUAUAGACCGUACCCGAAACCGACACAGGUGGUCAGGUAGAGUAUACCAAGGCGCUUGAGAGAACUAUGCUGAAGGAACUCGGCAAAUUGCACGCGUAACUUCGGAAGAAGCGUGACCCUUAUGUACGCAAGUAUGUGAGGGUGGCACAGACCAGGGGGUAGCGACUGUUUAUCAAAAACACAGGGCUCUGCGAAGUCGCAAGACGACGUAUAGGGUCUGACGCCUGCCCGGUGCUGGAAGGUUAAGAGGAGAGGUGCAAGCUUUGAAUCGAAGCCCCAGUAAACGGCGGCCGUAACUAUAACGGUCCUAAGGUAGCGAAAUUCCUUGUCGGGUAAGUUCCGACCUGCACGAAUGGCGUAACGACUUCCCCGCUGUCUCCAGCAUAGACUCAGUGAAAUUGAAUUCCCCGUGAAGAUGCGGGGUUCCUGCGGUCAGACGGAAAGACCCCGUGCACCUUUACUAUAGCUUUACACUGGCAUUCGUGUCGGCAUGUGUAGGAUAGGUGGUAGGCUUUGAAGCAGGGACGCCAGUUUCUGUGGAGCCAUCCUUGAAAUACCACCCUUAUCGUCAUGGAUGUCUAACCGCGGUCCGUUAUCCGGAUCCGGGACAGUGUAUGGUGGGUAGUUUGACUGGGGCGGUCGCCUCCGAAAGAGUAACGGAGGCGCGCGAUGGUGGGCUCAGACCGGUCGGAAAUCGGUCGUCGAGUGCAAUGGCAUAAGCCCGCCUGACUGCGAGACUGACAAGUCGAGCAGAGACGAAAGUCGGUCAUAGUGAUCCGGUGGUCCCGCGUGGAAGGGCCAUCGCUCAACGGAUAAAAGGUACGCCGGGGAUAACAGGCUGAUGACCCCCAAGAGUCCAUAUCGACGGGGUUGUUUGGCACCUCGAUGUCGGCUCAUCGCAUCCUGGGGCUGGAGCAGGUCCCAAGGGUUUGGCUGUUCGCCAAUUAAAGCGGUACGUGAGCUGGGUUCAGAACGUCGUGAGACAGUUCGGUCCCUAUCUGCCGUGGGUGUAGGAAUAUUGACAGGAUCUGUCCCUAGUACGAGAGGACCGGGAUGGACAUAUCUCUGGUGGACCUGUUGUCGUGCCAACGGCAUAGCAGGGUAGCUAUAUAUGGAAUGGAUAACCGCUGAAGGCAUCUAAGCGGGAAACCAACCUGAAAACGAGUGUUCCCUAUCAGAGCCGUGGAAGACUACCACGUUGAUAGGCCGGGUGUGGAAGUGCAGUAAUGCAUGAAGCUUACCGGUACUAAUAGCUCGAUUGGCUUGAUCGUUCUCAUU
RNAcentral lists this ribosomal RNA (2658 nucleotides) under Rhizobium sp. RNAcentral's name for it is "bacterial LSU rRNA". It matches the Rfam family "Bacterial large subunit ribosomal RNA". The record is from RNAcentral. Lineage: Bacteria; Pseudomonadati; Pseudomonadota; Alphaproteobacteria; Hyphomicrobiales; Rhizobiaceae.